This 381-nucleotide microRNA precursor is filed under the name Medicago truncatula (barrel medic). RNAcentral's name for it is "miR2671e stem-loop (mtr-MIR2671e)". The stretch from base 66 to 344 matches the Rfam family "MIR2655 microRNA precursor family". Lineage: Eukaryota; Viridiplantae; Streptophyta; Magnoliopsida; Fabales; Fabaceae. The record is from miRBase by way of RNAcentral.
UUGGUCCCUUAACUAUUAAAAGUUUCGUUUCGGUCCCAUAACUUAUUUUUGGGUUUUCUUUUGGUCCCUUAACUAUUAAAAGUUUCAUUUUGGUCCCUUGACUUAUUUUUUGGUUUCGUUUUGGUCUCUUAACUUAUUUUUUUGUUUCAUUUUGGUCCCUUAACUCUAAUACAUUCAUCCUAACAUAAAGGAUCAAAGAGGUUGACGGAGGAUGAGUUAAGGGACCAAAACGAAACCAAAAAGUAAGUUAACGGACCAAAACGAAGCUUUUAAUAGUUAAGGGACCAAAACGAAACCAAAAAGUAAGUUAAGGGACCAAAACGAAACUUUUAAUAGUUAAGGGACCAAAACGAAACUAAAAAAUAAGUUAAGGGACCAAAA